Ornithodoros turicata is the source of this 589-nucleotide long non-coding RNA. RefSeq lists it as uncharacterized. Lineage: Eukaryota; Metazoa; Arthropoda; Arachnida; Ixodida; Argasidae. The record is from RefSeq and is a predicted model, not a curated record. The transcript is spliced from 3 exons.
ACAUGUUCAAACACGUUCAAUGACGUCAUAGAGAGGGAGAGAGAGGAACUAGUGUGUCCAGGGGCGACUUCGGCGGUUCGCCGCCCGUGUCUGAACACGUCCAAACAUGUUUAAACACAUCUUAACAUGUCCAAACACGUUCAAUGACGUCAUAGAGAGUGAGAGGAAAAGCUUUACUAUAAAUAUUGAAGCGAACGUUUGAUCGUCAUUCUCGUGCCAUCAUGCUCAGCUUGGUAGAUCCUCCUAAGUAAAGAGUAUCGUUUCCAGUAUACAGCACUUUUGCUGCGCGUGAAGUCUGUUUUUUCCCGCCUCACAUAUUUUGGGAGAUUGGUAGCGCCCGCUUCUUCUGCACCAACUGCGGUGGAUUGUGGUCCAAAGAGCAAAAGCAUUGGAUUGAUACGCCCGUUUCUUGGCUGUCGGACGGUACCGUUAGACGUACGUUGCGAAGGGCUUCGAAUAUUGAAGGAAGAUGGAGAAGGUGGACCAUCAGUGUCACUCUGUGACUGAAGAAGAUUAUUACGAAUGGCUAGUGACGGGAGAUCUACCCCUGGUCCUAACCUUCAAGCCUCCUCCGAAGACCUUCUUUUUG